This 254-nucleotide ribosomal RNA is filed under the name uncultured Methanosaeta sp. RNAcentral describes it as "partial 16S ribosomal RNA". It matches the Rfam family "Archaeal small subunit ribosomal RNA", at positions 474 to 727 of the family's 1478-position model. The record is from RNAcentral. Lineage: Archaea; Methanobacteriati; Methanobacteriota; Methanomicrobia; Methanotrichales; Methanotrichaceae.
CACCGGCGGCUCGAGUGGUAACCGCUAUUAUUGGGUCUAAAGGGUCUGUAGCCGGCCCUGUGAGUCUCUUGGGAAAUCCGGCAGCUUAACUGUCGGGCUAUCAGGAGAUACUGCAGGGCUCGAGACCGGGAGAGGUGAGAGGUACUUCAGGGGUAGGGGUGAAAUCUUGUAAUCCUUGAAGGACCACCAGUGGCGAAGGCGUCUCACCAGAACGGAUCUGACGGCAAGGGACGAAAGCUAGGGGCACGAACCGG